RNAcentral lists this ribosomal RNA (506 nucleotides) under uncultured bacterium. RNAcentral describes it as "partial 16S ribosomal RNA". It matches the Rfam family "Bacterial small subunit ribosomal RNA", at positions 29 to 523 of the family's 1533-position model. The record is from RNAcentral.
AGUGAACGCUGGCGGUAGGCCUAACACAUGCAAGUCGAACGGCAGCACAGGAGAGCUUGCUCUCUGGGUGGCGAGUGGCGGACGGGUGAGGAAUACAUCGGAAUCUACUCUGUCGUGGGGGAUAACGUAGGGAAACUUACGCUAAUACCGCAUACGACCUACGGGUGAAAGCAGGGGACCUUCGGGCCUUGCGCGAUUGAAUGAGCCGAUGUCGGAUUAGCUAGUUGGCGGGGUAAAGGCCCACCAAGGCGACGAUCCGUAGCUGGUCUGAGAGGAUGAACCGGCACACUGGAGCUGGAGCACGGUCCAGACUCCUACGGGAGGCAGCAGUGGGGAAUAUUGGACAAUGGGCGCAAGCCUGAUCCAGCCAUACCGCAUGGGUGAAGAAGGCCUUCGGGUUGUAAAGCCCUUUUGUUGGGAAAGAAAUCCAGCUGGCUAAUACCCGGUUGGGAUGACGGUACCCAAAGAAUAAGCACCGGCUAACUUCGUGCCAGCCGCCGCAGUAA